UGGUGGGCCUAAGUGGAUUCGAACCACUGACCUUUCCCUUAUCAGGGGAAUGCUCUAAACCAACUGAGCUAUAGGCCC
This 78-nucleotide transfer RNA is filed under the name Candidatus Jettenia caeni. Its description in RNAcentral is "tRNA-Ile". Lineage: Bacteria; Pseudomonadati; Planctomycetota; Candidatus Brocadiia; Candidatus Brocadiales; Candidatus Brocadiaceae. The record is from RNAcentral.